Molecule: non-coding RNA, 73 nt
Organism: Paramuricea clavata
Lineage: Eukaryota; Metazoa; Cnidaria; Anthozoa; Malacalcyonacea; Plexauridae
Source: the annotation of a GenBank genome assembly
GACUGCGUAGCUCAGUUGGCAGAGCAUUGGACUAGUAUUCCAAAGGUCGUAGGUUCGAUUCCCACCGUGGCCA